RNAcentral lists this transfer RNA (84 nucleotides) under Candidatus Sungbacteria bacterium RIFCSPLOWO2_01_FULL_60_25. RNAcentral describes it as "tRNA-Leu". It matches the Rfam family "tRNA". From Rfam's summary of the family: Transfer RNA (tRNA) molecules are approximately 80 nucleotides in length. Their secondary structure includes four short double-helical elements and three loops (D, anti-codon, and T loops). The record is from RNAcentral. Lineage: Bacteria; Candidatus Sungiibacteriota.
GCCGAGGUGGUGGAAUAGGCAGACACGAAGGACUUAAAAUCCUUUGCCCGUAAGGGCGUGUGGGUUCGACCCCCACCCUCGGCA